GAUAAACGCUGGCGGCGUGCUUUAUGCAUGCAAGUCGCACGGUCAAUCGCAAGAAAGACAGUGGCAAACGGGUGCGUAAUACAUAAGUAACCUGCCCCUAAGUGGAGAAUAGCUCCGGGAAACUGGAGAUAAUGCUGCGUGUUGUGGUGAGGGUAAUGCCUCAUCAAUAAAGCCCGCAAGGGCGCUUGGGGAGGGGCUUAUGUCUGAUUAGCUAGUUGGUGAGGUAAUGGCCCACCAAGGCUUUGAUCGGUAGCUGGUCUGAGAGGAUGGUCAGCCACAAUGGGACUGAGACACGGCCCAUACUCCUACGGGAGGCAG
This 318-nucleotide ribosomal RNA is filed under the name uncultured Chloroflexota bacterium. RNAcentral's name for it is "bacterial SSU rRNA". It matches the Rfam family "Bacterial small subunit ribosomal RNA", at positions 28 to 351 of the family's 1533-position model. The record is from RNAcentral. Lineage: Bacteria; Bacillati; Chloroflexota.